UACGGAGGGGGCUAGCGUUGUUCGGAAUUACUGGGCGUAAAGCGCGCGUAGGCGGCUUUGUAAGUUAGAGGUGAAAGCCCGGAGCUCAACUUCGGAAUUGCCUUUAAGACUGCAUCGCUAGAAUCUUGGAGAGGCGAGUGGAAUUCCGAGUGUAGAGGUGAAAUUCGUAGAUAUUCGGAAGAACACCAGUGGCGAAGGCGACUCGCUGGACAAGUAUUGACGCUGAGGUGCGAAAGCGUGGGGAGCAAACAGG
RNAcentral lists this ribosomal RNA (253 nucleotides) under uncultured bacterium. RNAcentral's name for it is "partial 16S ribosomal RNA". It matches the Rfam family "Bacterial small subunit ribosomal RNA", at positions 524 to 776 of the family's 1533-position model. The record is from RNAcentral.